UACGGAGGGUGCAAGCGUUAUCCAGAUUCACUGGGCUUAAAGGGUGUGUAGGCGGAUAUUUAAGUCAGUGGUGAAAUCUCCAGGCUCAACCUGGAAACUGCCAUUGAUACUAUUUAUCUUGAAUAUCGUUGAGGUAGGCGGAAUAUGUCAUGUAGCGGUGAAAUGCUUAGAGAUGACAUAGAACACCGAUUGCGAAGGCAGCUUACUAAACGAUUAUUGACGCUGAGGCACGAAAGCGUGGGGAUCAAACAGG
RNAcentral lists this ribosomal RNA (253 nucleotides) under uncultured bacterium. Its description in RNAcentral is "partial 16S ribosomal RNA". It matches the Rfam family "Bacterial small subunit ribosomal RNA", at positions 524 to 776 of the family's 1533-position model. The record is from RNAcentral.